Strigops habroptila (Kakapo) is the source of this 1838-nucleotide long non-coding RNA. The record is from Ensembl. Lineage: Eukaryota; Metazoa; Chordata; Aves; Psittaciformes; Psittacidae.
GAUGCCUGGCAAAGUGACGAUUCUUUCAAGACAGCGCAGGUUUACUGGUGACUUGUUUGUGCUGCCACCUCAAUGUAGUGGACUUCAAGAUACGGAUUGGUUAUGCCGCCUCUCACGCUCCUCGUACUGCAUCUGGCAUCCGUUUAAUUGCCAGCGUAAUUUUGGUCAGUGUCCUGGAGCAACAGCCUCAGAAACACCACUUUUCAUGAACUGACCUGCACUUUUGAACGACGAGUAGCACAAUCCAUGGUUUAUUCAAACAUGAACAUCAAGAAUUUCUUCUAGAGUAAUUUUCCACUUCGGCCCCGUAAGAAGUGAUCUCCCGAUGCUGCAGAGUAUACAUUCCAUAAUCCUUCCUAACAUUACUUCAUUUUACUUACUGUAGCUUUCAGGUUUUUGAUUAACUCUUUUUACUAAUGCCCUAUUAUGUACUCUGGAAAUACAGAACUAUUUAAGAGGAGAAAUUGGGAGUGAAAGAUUUUAAAGGAAACUUCACAAAGGAAAAAAUACCGUCUUAUAACCUGAUUAUUUGAACAGAUGUAGUUUUUAAAACAGGUCAGAAGAACUAUACUUAUUUAUGUGGAGUGGCAUAUGUGUUUUCGAUCAUGUUAUUAUAUAUACAAGAUUUAAAUAAAAAUUAUAUUGUUUAAAAUGGGACCAAUAUGCUGGCAGUUACACAGCUACUCCCAGUUUACUGAAAAAAUCUACAUUAUUUAAAAUCUUUCAGUAUUUAAGUAGUCUUUAAUACGGUUAUUAAGAUGUAUUAGGGGUGCUUCUAAGUUAAAAGAAAAAAAGGAAUCAUGUAUAUAAUGUACUUUAUUUUUUUCUUGUUUGAAGCAUUGUUCUCCAUCCUGUCAGUAUUAUCCUAAGCACGGUAAUUUUUCCCAAAUUACUGGCUGAAACGCAUUGAAACAUGUCAGCAGUCUCAGGACAGACAUAAGGUUCUUUUGGAGUGAGUGCCUUAACACGACCGCCCAGCCCCAGGGAGUUGGAAUUGCAGCCGGUGCAGGCCAGGGUGUGCAGGGGACUCACCGUGCCUCUGGUUCUCCGCAGCCUCCUUUGGAACAGUUCCGAGUCAGGACAUCCCGAAGCGCUUUGCAGUGAUGUAUAUUCUAGAAAAUAAAGGUUUGGGGUUUUUAUUUGUGACGUUGUUUGUUUCUUAGCUGGCUUAAUUUGAUUUCAUUAACAUCCAAACCAACUCAAAUCCUAGAAUUAGACUUUUUCCCUUUGGAUAGGAAGUUCUCAUGAUUUUUUUAAUCUACACUUCAACACAAAAUGGCUUGUGACAAGUUUGGAGAUGCAGAUUGUUCUGAAACUUUGUUUCUUAAUUUUUUUUCCCCUUCACUCACAGACUGCUAAUUUUGGGGAAGGACCAUGUUUUUGCUUACUCUCUUACUUUUAUCCAUUUCCUCUGACCUAUAGCAGGGAGGUAGGACAACCCACCCCACUGGCUGUCGGAUGCACGGGUUGUUACCAAGUGUCUAUUUGUACUGCAGCCAGAGCAGCAGGUCAUUAUUUCAAUGCACUUUUUGUUAAUUUUGGAGAAGUUACUCUUGCCAUUUGCUGUUUGAAGAAGCAAUGGGUGUUUCUUUACUGAAUCCUCAACUUAAAAUGUACUUAGUAUUAGAAGAACUGUAGGAACAGUUCCAAAAUAAAAAGAACACAUAGGCCAAGGUCCUUGCUUUGGCUGCAUCAUUGGCUCUGCUCAGCAGAACUGCAGCAAUCUCAGAGCCUGUUCAGGAUCCCAGCCCAGGCUUACAGUCACUGUAAACAUUAAAGAUGUGUAGCAGAGCAGCUAAGGGCAUUUACACUGUGCACUGUUUUCCACUGAAAUGUAU